UACGUAGGGUCCAAGCGUUAUCCGGAAUUACUGGGCGUAAAGAGCUCGUAGGUGGUUUGUCGCGUUGUCCGUGAAAACUCACAGCUUAACUGUGGGCGUGCGGGCGAUACGGGCAGACUGGAGUACUGCAGGGGAGACUGGAAUUCCUGGUGUAGCGGUGGAAUGCGCAGAUAUCAGGAGGAACACCGGUGGCGAAGGCGGCAUCCUGGACCGGCAUUGACGCUGAGGCGCGAAAGCCAGGGGAGCAAACGGG
This 253-nucleotide ribosomal RNA is filed under the name uncultured bacterium. RNAcentral describes it as "partial 16S ribosomal RNA". It matches the Rfam family "Bacterial small subunit ribosomal RNA", at positions 524 to 776 of the family's 1533-position model. The record is from RNAcentral.